GCCCCGGUAGCUCAAGAGGAUAGAGCGGGACCGUCCUAAGGUCAAGGCUGCAGGUUCGAGUCCUGCCCGGGGCGCCA
This 77-nucleotide transfer RNA is filed under the name bacterium. Its description in RNAcentral is "tRNA-Arg". It matches the Rfam family "tRNA". From Rfam's summary of the family: Transfer RNA (tRNA) molecules are approximately 80 nucleotides in length. Their secondary structure includes four short double-helical elements and three loops (D, anti-codon, and T loops). The record is from RNAcentral. RNAcentral also lists the same sequence under 3 other names.